RNAcentral lists this ribosomal RNA (468 nucleotides) under uncultured bacterium. RNAcentral describes it as "partial 16S ribosomal RNA". It matches the Rfam family "Bacterial small subunit ribosomal RNA", at positions 28 to 507 of the family's 1533-position model. The record is from RNAcentral.
GACGAACGCUGGCGGCGUGCUUAACACAUGCAAGUCGAACGGAAAGGCCCUGCUUUUGUGGGGUGCUCGAGUGGCGAACGGGUGAGUAACACGUGAGUAACCUGCCCUUGACUUUGGGAUAACUUCAGGAAACUGGGGCUAAUACCGGAUAGGAGCUCCUGCUGCAUGGUGGGGGUUGGAAAGUUUCGGCGGUCGGGGAUGGACUCGCGGCUUAUCAGCUUGUUGGUGGGGUAGUGGCUUACCAAGGCUUUGACGGGUAGCCGGCCUGAGAGGGUGACCGGCCACAUUGGGACUGAGAUACGGCCCAGACUCCUACGGGAGGCAGCAGUGGGGAAUAUUGCACAAUGGGCGGAAGCCUGAUGCAGCAACGCCGCGUGCGGGAUGACGGCCUUCGGGUUGUAAACCGCUUUCGCCUAUGACGAAGCGUGAGUGACGGUAAUGGGUAAAGAAGCACCGGCUAACUACGUG